RNAcentral lists this long non-coding RNA (29036 nucleotides) under Populus tremula. Its description in RNAcentral is "long non-coding RNA (PTRE_LNC001385)". The record is from RNAcentral. Lineage: Eukaryota; Viridiplantae; Streptophyta; Magnoliopsida; Malpighiales; Salicaceae.
AAAAAUAUUUGAUUUUUUUAUGUUUUAAAUUAUUUUUUUUGUUUUUGAGUUAUUUUGAUUUAUUAUAAAAAAAAUAAAUUUUAAUAAAUAAAUAAACUUAAUAAUUUUUUAAAAAAUAUAUUUUAAAAAAUAAUCAUUAUCAAACCAAUAAACCAUUCAAGCAUUAUCAUAGCUAUUUCUUAUACAUCAAAAAGAGAAAUACAACGAAAAAGAAAAGAAUUAAAAGAUGAUCAAACAUCGUUGAAUUGAAGUGUCUGAUGCUGAGAUCUACUACAUCGUUAAAAGAAAUAUCAUAGCUGUUGAAAAAAUAAAGUGAUUAAGCAAAAUAAGAGGUAACGUAUCUAAGUGAUCAGAUAGGGUAGGAGGGAGGGUAUAAUGAGUAAGGCAGAAGAGUGAAGGCUAGGUAGUGGAUUGAACAGCAUGUCCAUGAACUGCCAAGAGAUUAUGGAGUCCAAGGAAACAACCGAGGAUAAAGAAACUAGGAGGGAGCAACAAGAUAACAUGAAAAACAAUUUGAUGGAGCAAACUAAAAUACCUCAAGUGAGAGCAAUUGUUGAAAGACAGGAUCCCUCUUCUAAGGUGAUCUUUGCGUCUUUUUUAUUUGCAGCCGUUGAUGUUCUUGUUAUUCUUCCUAGACAUAGCUACUUUAUAAUACUUGUCGAUUUUUGAAAAUAUUUCUUAUCUAUGUACGGAGCAACAUAUCUACUAGACAUCCUAAGAGGCGGCAAUGACCAUCCUAUAUAUUUUUCAAGCCAAGCUCACUCAAAUUAUGUUACUGUCUCAGUUUUUUUGAGCUCUGCAGUCUUUCACCAUUCUUGGUGGUGAUAACAGUACUGGAAGCUGCAGUGGUCUGUGAACGUUGCUUUACUUUGUUCUUGUAAUAAUCGAACUCCCUGUUACUGUCAUAAUUUGUGACAGGUGGCGGUAACGUGGUGUGUGUGUGUGUGUGUGUAUAUAUAAUAUGUUUGAUUUUUCUCAGAGUUGAUCUCUUUAUUCAAUGGACAAUGAUCUUGGAAUUUCUUAAUUAAAAUCGAGGUGCAGGAAGUAGAUGACCUGACGAUUAGACAAUGAUCUUGGAAGAUUGUUUAUCCUUUUAUAGACAAAAACACCAAGAAGAAGGUAAAGAGUGUGCAUUCAUCUUGUAUUCCUUUGACCAAAAACUGAUCAUAUGCAUGCAAUCAGUUGAAUAAUUUAUCUGUGUGUGGAUUGCUAAUGUAUUGAAGUCCUGCAUCUCUUCACAGAUAGUAUUUGUGGAUAACAGGAAGCUGAAAUCAACUCUCCUUGAAGAAAUUGAUGAGAGCCAGAUCCCUGACAUUUACGGGGGGAAACUUUCAUUAAUUCCUAUCCAUCAAAGCACGUGAUGCAGCCAGCAAGCAACUGCAGGGAAACAUGAUUGGAUACCAAAGUACCAUUACUAUAAUUAAUUUAAAGUCAAUGUGGACCUCUUAGUCUUAGUGUUAGUUGGCAGGUCUUGCCACAUUAUUGUUGUUGGUGCCUUGUGGCUACCUUCAAGUUUCCACUUUAAAAUAGCUAGAGCUAAAUGCAUGGUUUUCAAGUUUUCUGGCUUUGUUUUAAUUAAUUUAGAUUUCUCAUUGUCGGCAUUAUUUUUGUGUUUUUGUUUGGUUGUGUUAACCUUGAAAUUAGAUAAAAAAUUAACUCACAAUGAUUUUCUUUUUAUUUUUUUAUUUUUAUAAACACUCAUUAAAAAGACCUACUUGUCCUUAAGUUUAUAUUCUUAAGCCUUAAGUCAUUGAACAACUAAUUUAUUUUUUGUUAUUAUGUUGGGCUAUAGACAGUUUGGUAUUUUAAAAAAAUGAAAAAAUUUGUUUACAUUUGCUGAGCAUGCGUUAACACAUCAACUGCUUUGUUGUCUUUAAAUGACACUUGUAAUUGAUUGUAAUGACCAAAAAAGCUAUUUAUUUCGGAUGACAUCAAUUUCAUCUCAUUGUUUUUUCUAUAAAAAUAUGAUGUGUAUACCGAGAAGAACUCUGGUUUGGUGCCAAUGGCCAUUUGUUUCUCUUUUUUCUUUUCUUUUCCUUGGUGUUUGCUCUCUGCCCCUUGAUUUUUCAAAUUAGCCCUUAAACUUCUCCUUUUUUAUUAUUUAGUCUUUGUUCUUUUGAUUUUUCUAAGUAUUCCAUUAAAUUAGAUUUUUAUUUUGAUUUCAUCCUCAUUCAGUUUUUUGCUUUGUCAAAUUUAAUCUUUAUUUUUUUAAUUUCUAUUUUUUUAAUGUGAGAUAAUUUUUAGAAUUUUAUUUUUUUUAUUCCACCCCCAUUAAUAUUUUUUUAUUAUUAAAUUCCAUCCUCAUUCUUUUGAUUAUGUUUUUUCUUUCUUUGUAAAAUUUUCUAAUUUGAUUUUUUUUAAAAAAAUUUAUUCUUCAACAUGUAAUUGAUUUAGAUAUGAUCUUCUUGGUUAAACUCAUGUCUAGGAUUUCACGGUUGCAAACUUUGAAAAUUAAUAUAGUUUCACGAGGGUUCCCGAGGAUUGCAUUGUUUUUUUUAAUCAUUUUUUUAAGUUGAUGUUUUUUAAUUUUUCAUCCUUUAUUAUUUAUUUAAUUAGAGAUUGAACUUUAUAUUUUUUCCUACUUUUUAUGACCUUUGUUUUAUCUAUUGUUUUUUUUAUUUAAUUAGGUUAUUUCGAGCUUUUUUUUUUUUUUUUCUUUUUAUUUUUUAAAAAAAUAGAAUUGAUUGAUUGAAUAUAGUUGCAUGCUCACUUCAUUUUGUUUUGUUUGGUUUACUUUUCCAAGACGUUGCUUUAGCAGCCCAAACAACUUCUUUUUGAAGUUGACAUUGUCCAUACUAUUGCAAUUAGGUUUAAACCGUUUCGGCAAACUCUUUUUAUAAUGGACAAUGUCCAUAAUGGGGAGACAGUGAGUCUCUAAUGAUUAUUUUUUAUUCUUCUCUUUUCUGGUAUGAUAGCAGUGAUUCAUUUGUUUUAUUUAAUUGUUGUCAAAUAUCUUUUUUAGAAUAGUCUAUUAUCAUGGCCUAUAGUUUAAAUCAAAUUAUUAAACUACCCAAUCUUAUUAAAUCUAGUCAUCAAGUAAAUGAAUUAAAUAUUGGAUUUUUCUUGUUAUUUUAAAAAUAUUUUCAACAUUUGAGUAUCUUUUUUAUAAGCUUAGUUUUUUUUGAUUAGCUUGUGAUAUAGCACAAAUCACCGAUCUAAUAUUCCCUGACAAUAAAUUCAAAUUAAAAUUUGGUGUCUUGGCUAUUGAAAGUUAAAGACAUAUAGUUGGACAGGAAAUGUUAAAGGGAUUGUCAAGCUUUGGAACUAGGAGUAUGCUAAGAUGCUAUCACAAAUAUCCAACUUCCAAGGAUUGAUUCACCUUGUGGGCUGUCUUUUCUUUAUUCUUUUAGUUAUUUUCUUAUUUUUAUUUUUUUUAAUUCUUUUGGAAUUUAUCUAUUAAAUCAACUGGAUUAACUUUGGAUUGAUUUUGUACAACUCGGAACGAGUUGUCUAAAUACUAUAUUGAUACGCCCUCUCUCCUUCGAAUCCUUAUACCGAUACUUAGCCCCUUCAAUUUCUCUUGCUAGUGCCACUGCCAUAUUUCGGCACUGUACUGUAUAUUAUCUUCUGCAAGCCCAGCUUGAUCUAGAAGAUCGACCAUGGAUCCAUAACGAUUCCAUAAUUGAGGAUCGAUUUCUCAUUAAAUCAAAGUAUUUGUGCCCUUCUGUGACCGCACCACAAUGGCUACACGCUGUUAAAACUCCAAGAAAGGUUAUAGAAUCAGGCAAAACAUUUUCUACUGCCAUCUUCGUGAAGACUUUGAUUGUAUCUCUAGCAAGCUCAUGAACUGCUAAACCAUUGAUCAUCCAAUUCCAAAUACAAACAUUGCCGCGUUGGACACCAUCAAAAAUCUCCUUCAUAGUCUGAAUUUUACUGCACUUCGAAUCAUUGUCUAUCAAUGCUAAACUCAAAAGAAAAAACUUGACUCACUUCUUUUCUCGAUCAACAAUUCAUAUGCACCCUCUGAGCAUGAUUAAGGUCUCCGAGUCUUGCACGCCAUUUAUAACCACAUGCAAGUGUACAUUUAUCUGGUUCAACAUUCGAUCUAAUCAUAGCUCAAAAAAGUCUCAAUGCCUCCUCAUAUCCUCCGAUAAACUUAAUUUUGAAACAUUAACCCUAGAUUUUUUUAAAGGAAGAGUAACUGUAAAUCUUAAGUUCUGCUUGGUUGAUGAGGAAAUGAAGGAAAAUCAAAUUUGAAGCUUCGAAAAAGUCUGAACUGUUCCUGUCCAAAAAUGUGUUUUGAUGAUGCUCUAGAAAAGGAAAAUGAGAGGCUUGAAGUGCAACGAUUGCAAGCUAAUUUGGACGCCAGAUCAAUGCAAAGGUGUUCAUGUAGCAGAAGCUGCAGUUGCAAAUUAUCUUCAUAAGUUCUUAGAAACUGGAGCCUGGGCGUUUAGAUGCCACCGAAAAAAAUCUUAGAGGUUAGAUUUUUGUCAACUCAUGUGUAAGGAGUUCAAACUGACCGGUACAAUUUGGUUCUAUAUUUUUAAAAAUUGAAUAAAUCUAAUUAUUUAAUCUUUUAAUAAAAUUUGAUUUCAUGUAUAGUGAGUUUUUAGUCUACACAUAACGAGUUUAAUUUUAAAACCAAUCCUGUUUCAGCUAAAUAUACUAGAAAUCCUUUUUUAUUGGGAUGUCGAUCAACAACAUAUUUUGAAUGCUAAAAGAUGUAUCAUUUUUUUUCCUUCUUCAUUUCAGUUGAUCAUCAUUGUUAUAUGUUCUUUCCAUUAUCUUUACCUUGAAAAGUUUGGAGCAGGUGGUUCCCUUAUCUUGUAUGAUGGAUGAAUUGUAGUUCAAUUUUGAUGUGGCUGUUCUUUUUCAUUUUUAAUACCUGCUGCUGAGACACUUGCAUGGGAAAAGAACUUGAAAUGCCAUUAAUGAUUUAUGGAGGUUAAGAGGAUGAACCUCAAAAUCAUAUUAUAAUGAACAAAAAUCUUUUUUGUGUUUUACUUGAACUUUGAAAUUGAACCAAAAUACAAAACUUGUAUUUGUGUGCAUGUAUAACUCUGGCCAUGUACACAUUUCACUUCACUUUUUUUCUACGGCAACUAGUCUUUUAUUAUUGUGUUUGUAAGGCUUUCACUCUUUUAGGCAAUUUUUUUAUGAAUGCGUUGGGCAAAGAAAAAGUCAAAAGUGGAGAAAGACUGAUGCUUUGAAUAGCUUAAUACGGAUGAAACGAAGUAGGCACCUGAGGUAAUAAUUUUGUAGUUUCUUAUGUACUGAUAAUAUAAGGUCUAGUCACUUUGUAGUUGUCUACAUGAUUGUUUGGUUUAAUUAUUGAAAUAGGUUAUAUUCAGGGCACAACAGUCUCACAUCUCUUUUUCAUGUUGGGUAUUCUUUUUUUUUUUUUAGAUUAACAUGGGUGUUCGGGUCAGCUUACGUGCACCUCAACAAGACCACAUCAAGCCUCCACAAUGAAAAGGUUUGUAAUUCGCCGUUCUCUUUUGAAUAUCUCUUAUUGUCGUUGAUUAGCAUCUCACGAUUCUUUGAUAAGGCAUAAAGAAAUCAUUUUGGUAGCAACCACCAAACCAAUAGAACAAGGAAACUCUGCAGCUGGUCUAUAAGGUAAGUAGAUUCAUUACCAGCCGACUCCGGACCGUCAGAAACAUGACACCUCGGUUCAGCCAAGCAUUCAGGUUUUCCCUAAUUUCCUGUAUAUUUUCUUUGAGGCAUAUCGUAUAUUUUCGGUGUACUCGUCAAAUUUUAUGUUCAAGUAACAACCCACGUAGUGGUUUUUGUUUUAGAAUUUUGAAAAUUUUGUUAUUUGAGUCUAUUUAGUUUUUGUUUCAUAUGCAUAGAUUCAUUUAAUCGAGUACAAGAAGUGUUAUUGCCUUGUUAAUAAUCUUUAUUUUCUUCUUUCUUCAUUGUAAGACAGUAGACAAUAAUCAGCUGUCGGAAAUGUUUUUUCUUGCUUUAUAAUUUUAACUUUAAAGGUCAUAAAGUAGUGUUGUUACCUGGGUUUUUUUUUUUACUGUAUUAAUGCUCUUAAAUUGCUAUUUCAUUUUGUAUGAGCGUUGUCUAUUUUAGAGAAUAUUCAUGUAGAUUCAUCCCUUUCUCUCUAGUCUCCAUUACUACUAAGUAAAGCCUCACUUUAGUUUUCAUUUGUGCAAAAUCUAAGCUAAGAACAAAGAACAUGUUUUUGCAGAACAACUUCACAGAGAUACAAUUUGUAACAUGAUUUAUAUGUUGAUUGUUGUAACCCAUUUUUAGGUCCCCACAAAAAAAUAAAAUAAAUAGCCACAGAAGCUUAGAAAAUGGUCGGAAGAUUGGUUAAGGAAGUUAAAAAAUACAAAGAUUGGAUUUUUUACAGUAUUUUCUGGAAGGAUGAGAGCCCUGUUGAGAAGGAAAAUUUGAAUUUUGAGGAGAAAAGCCCAAAUUUGGAUGUUGAUGGACUUAAUUGGAUUUUAUUUGAAUUUAUAGAGGAUUUGAGUGCAAGAAAAAUUGAUUUUUUAAGUCAAUUUGGGCUUUAAUUAGAAGAAAUUUAAAUUCUGGGACCAAAAUAUUUUUUUUUGGAAUUUAUUAGGUCAAAUCAAGAGCUCAAUUGCAUAAAUAUUGAAGUUUAAUAGCCAAUUAGGGGCUCAAUUGUGAAAAUCCGAAACCAGGGACCAAUUUGGAAAACGCGGGUAAAUAUAGGGGGCUGUUUUGAAUUGAUCCAAGGGCGUAAUUGAAGAAAUUGGAAGUUUAUUGAUCAAUUGAGGGCUUAAUUGCAUAAAUCAGAGGCCAAGGACCAAGGUGAAAAACGCGGGGGCGAGGACCGAAAUUGGCAGGGACGCAAUUGAAAGCAACAAAAGAUAUUUAAGGGCUGAUUUGAAAUUUGGCGCUUUCCGGCGCCAUUUUUAAAUGAAACGGCGCGUUUUCCCCAAAACGACGUCGUUUCAUACACAAAAAGAAAAAAGAAAAAAAGAAGGACCGAACGGUGCCGUUUUGAACGACAUUGUUCCCCUUUCUUCUUCCCCCCGAACGUGCAGCAAGAAUAGGAAGAAAACUUGUUUAAUCAUCCGGUGCCGCUCUCUCCUCGCGUGCGCUGACAAUACCAUGUUGCCCUGCUCAACCCACGAUGUCCUGCUCCUCACGCUGCCCUGCUCAGUCCAUGCAGACCCGCUCCCUUCUCCCCCCUUCAAAGGGGGGAGACUUGAAACAGGAGGAGGAAGAAAGAAAACGAAAAAACCGAGACCAAGAGAGAGAGAUAAGAAAAAAAACCGGGGGGAAGAAAAAUGAACCAGAGAAAAAGGAGACUGAAACCGAAGGGAAGUUGAACGAGAGAAGAGAGAACGGAGAGAAAGGAAGGAAAGAAUACCGGGGGGGAAGUUUUUGAACAAAGAGAGAAAACGAAAUAGAGAGAGGAGGGAAGAAGUCAGGGAAGUUUGAAACAGAAGGGGGAGCACAAACGCACCAGUAUUGCCAAGGAUCGUCAUUUUUUAGCUCAUCAUUCUUCACACACGUUGCAACACCAUAGAAGAAAAGGAAGAACCCUGCACCUCGGUACAAACAGAGAAAACAGCGGCAAAACACAGCCCGCCACCGCCGAGAAGACCCACUGUCGCAUUGCCAUCAUUAUCACCGCCAGCUGCCACUGUCUUCCCAUCCGACAACAACACCGUGAGGAACAUAAUGAGGAAGCAGAAGCAGAGGAGAACAUAGUUGAAGAAAAAAAAACACAGAGAAGAAAGAAAAGCCGACGACCGUCCAAGCCACUCAUUAGGCCGCCGCCACCAGCAUCUCCACGAAGCAGCUGCAGAGAGGGAGAAGAACAUUGUUGACAGAGGGAGCAAAGGAAAUAAAAAGAAGAACAACGCCAAAACAGUAAGGAAGAGGAAGGAUGCACGCGUGAGCUUCCACCCAGGACACUGGCUCGGGCCAGUGGCCUGGUUAGGCCUGCUGGGUCAAGCCCAGCCAUAUGGGCCGAACGGGGCCCAACCUAAAAUUGUUUUUAUUUAAAAAAAAAAUUCUGCAAAAAAAUUGAUUUUGAAAAUAAGUGAUUUUCUGCAAUUCUGUUACUGCAUUUUGAUCAAUAUCGGUUUGUAUUUUUAUACUGUAAAGAUACAGAUCCGGUAUUAAAAUACCCGGUUUUCGUAAAAAUAUCAAAGAUUUUCAGAAUAAAAAAUGUUUUUGCUUUCAAAAAAAAAUUCUAAAAAAUCCCUAAAAAUGUUGUUGAUUUUUUUGCAUAUUUUUAUUAAUAUUGGGUUGUAUUUUUAUACCGUAAGGAUACAAGCUCAGUAUUUAAAUACCCGAUUUUCGUCAAAGCAUAUAAAAAAAAAAUAUUUUCAAAAAAAUUGUUUUGUUUUAAAAUACGGCUUAGUCUCUCCAAUAUAUAUAUAUAAAUAUUAUAACAUCCUAUUUUCACACAACAAAGGAAAUUUUCAAAACAAUAUAUGUAUUAGCACGCAUUUUGGCUUUAAUAACCAGUUUAUUCAAGCCAUGAGAACUAGGCCAAUAUUUCAAAAAUUCAAAAAAAUCUUUUUGUUUCCUUUUUAGUAUUUGGGAUUACGAAUUUAUACGUAAAACGUAUUCCUAAAUAUUAUUAAUAAAGUUUUGUUAUAGACGUUAGAACGGUUAGGAUUUUACCCGAUAAGAUAAAAGACCUUCUUACCGAGGAGGAUUUUUCUUGAACCAUAGACAGACCAACGACUAGAAGUACAAUAACACCUUAGUUUUUUUUACCAGACAAUAAAACAAUGCAGCUUACCUUAGGUAGGGCGUAUUUGGGGUGCUAAUACCUUCCCUUUACGCAACCAGUCCCCGUACCCAAUCUCUAAGACCAGUUAGGGUUCCUAGUGACCAAAAUACUAGGUGGUGACUCCCAUUCCAUUUUCUACCAAUAAAAUACAAUAUUUUCUUGUAUCCCCAUAGAUAUAGAUGUUCGCUUUGUAGAUUUAAGAAAAAUGGAACAACUAUAUAAUUUUCGCCGCGACGCCGCACACGUGCGACAGAAUGGCGACUCCACUGGGGACCUUGUAGACUAAGCUUUGUUUUUGUCUGAUUUGUUUGUAUUUUCAUGUGUUUAUUGUUAAUAUGCCUUUCCAUUUAUUUGCAUAUUUGUUUUUUAUUUUACGCGUAUUAUUUAUGCAUUGUAUAAAAUUGUCUCAUGCAUCACUUGCUUUUAUGUUGAGAAGCACACACAAGCUUUAAGUUAAGUGGGGAAUUACCGAUUUACCCUAAGACUAUUGGUCAGGGUUUAAAUGCGUGAAAUACCCAACUCAUAUCUGAGUGCCUGCUUGGUAAUGGUGGGCAUACGUGUCUUAACUGUUCCUUGCAACGCCCCCAUACUAUCUUUACAAAGAACGUCACUGGGCAGAUAUGAGACCCUUCAAGACCAGAUGGAAAAACUACCCACUCUCACUUAAUAAAUAGAGCUUGUCCUUAGGUUAUGUAUCUUUGUUUGCAAUGUUAUACUUGUUGUAACCCAUUUUCGGGUCCCCAUGAAAAAAUAAGAUAAAUAGCCAAAAGAAGUUAGAAAAAAUAACAGGAGGCAGAAACGCUCAGAAAACAGUCAGAAAAUUGGUCAAGAAAUUUAAAAAUACAAGGAUUGAAUUUUUGACGGUAUAUUCUUGAAGGAUAAAAGCCCUAUUGAGAAGGAAAAUUUGAAUUUUGAGGAGAAAAGCCCAAAUUUGGAUAUUUAUGGACUUAAUUGGAUUUUUAUUUGAAUUUAUAGAAGAUUUGAUUGCAAGAAAAAUUGAUUUUUAAAUCAAUUUGGGCUUUAAUUAGAAGAAAUUUAAGUUCUGGGCCAAUAUAUAUUUUUUAGGAAUUUUUUUAGGCCAAAUCAGGGGUUUAAUUGAAUAAAUAUUGAAGUUUAAUGGCCAAUUAGGGGUUUAAUUGUGAAAAACCGAAACCAGGGACCAAUUUGGAAAAACCGGGUAAAUAGAGGGGGCUGUUUUGCUUUGGAUCAGGGGCCUAAUUGAAGAAAUUUGAAGUUUAUUGAUCAAUUGAGGGCUUAAUUGCAUAAAUCAGAGGCCAAGGACCAAAGUGAAAAACGCGGCCAACAAGAGGGACGGGGACCGAAUUGGAAGGGAUGCAAUUGAAAUGAAUUAAAUAUGAUUGAGGGCUGAUUUGAAGUUUGGCGUGUGUUGGCGCUCUGUUUUAAUGAAACGACGCGUUUUGUCCAAAACGACACCGUUUCAUGUUUAAAAAAAAAAAAAAGAAGAGGCAUGGUUCCUCUUCUUCUUCCCCCCGAACCUGCAACAGAAGGAAGGAAACUUUGUUUUUGUUUUUGAAAAUCCUUCCCGCCUCUCUCUCCUCGCCCCCACCGAAGCCCCACAAGACCACCGAACGGGUCACUGGCCGACCAGCUGUUGCGUGAUUGAAGGCGCACUGUUAAAAGGCACACUGCUCCUUUUUUUCUCGAGAGAGACCGAAGGAGAGAGAGGGAGACCGGAGGAUAGGAAAAAAAAACGGACAGAGAGGGGAAUUUUUUUUGGACGAGAGAGGGCUUUUGGAAACUGAAAGGAGAGGGAAGUUUGAAACGAUGAAAGAUACUGUGAGAGUAUAGAAAAGAGAGAAACCAAAACAGAGGACGGGAGGUGAAGUUUUUGAGCCGAGACAGAGGAGAGAGCCAAAAACAGAAGAGAAGGAGCUGCUGUAGAGGAACAGUUGCUGUCACCGUGCUCCCCAGCCACCGACCACCAUCCAGGUCGCCACCACCAGCAUCUCCACGAAGCUGCUGCAGGGAUAGGAGAGUUUGGUUGACAGAAGGAGCAAAGGCAACCAAAGAGAAGAAGACAAGGAAGCUUGAAACAGAAGCAGAGAAGAACACAGAAGCAGCAGGGAAGAGGAAGAGCCAACCUUCAGUCAGCAACCGCCAGCAAACCAGCCACCAGCACCACCGUCAGCUCCUCUACCCAAGCUCAUCGUCGCAGGUAACUCUUCCCCUUAUCCCGUAUUCGUGUUCUUGCAUGCAGAACGUGCACUGUGCACGUUCUGCAAGUAAAAAAUUAAUUAGCUGGUUACUGUGUGCACAGUAACCAGCUAAUUAAUUCCCCGGUUACUAUGCAUGUCUAAUUAAUUAACAGGUUACUGUGCAGGUGCACAGUAACCACCUAAUUAAUUAACUGGUUACUGUGCAGGUGCACAGUAACCAGUCAAUGUUCAUUUCGGGCUGGAAUAUCAGCCCAGCCCAGGUGGCUGGACUGUAGAAAGUAGGCUUGUUUUAUUUCGGGCCUAUUUUGGCCUAGUCCCCUUUUGGGCCGGGUUCGGUCUAGUAAAAAAUUUAAAUCAUAAAAAAUAAAAAAAUUUCAAAAAUUAUUUCAAGGAAUUUGUGAUUUUUCUAUAAUUUUAUUACUGUAUUUUGGUCAAUAUCGAUUUGUAUUUUUAUACUGUGGAGAUACAAAUUCGGUAUUAAAAUACCCGGUUUUCGUCAAAGAUAUUUAUUAAAAAAAAAUAUUUUUGUUUUGAUGCAUACGGCCAAUAAUCUAACAUGUUUUGAAUGUUCUUUUUAUAUAAAAAAAAAUAUUGGAAGUUUUGAAAUUGUGUUUUCGCAUAGAUUUCUUAAACACAAAUUAUUUUCUUGCAUUUCUGGAUUUUACAACAUGUUUGUAAAACUCCAAAGGGUAUUGGCCAAUAUUCCAAAAACUAUAAAAAUCUUAUUUUUGGGGAGGAAAUUCAUUUAUUAUUUACCGUUAAUGUUUGGAUAAAGAAAUCCUUAAAAGGAUGAAUAUCCAAAAUAUUAUUGGGAGUAAUAAAUCCGCACACAUUCUUGAAAGAAGCCUUGAUUAUAAUCGAGGACAUUUCAAAAUUUUAAUUUUUUUUUAUUUCACGAUUUACGAGUCGCAAACUCUUGAAAUACUAAGGGAAAAAUGAGCUUUCAAAGCACAUGGAAUCUCCUUAGAUUUCUAUACAAAAUCAAUUGACGAGACUAGAAAACACCAACACCAUAGAUUAUAAGAGCAAACCAAACACCAAGCAGCUUACCUUAGGUAGGGCGUAUUAGGGGUGCUAAUACCUUCCUUUUACGCAACUAGUCCCUUGCCUUAGAAUCUCUGAAAGACCAGUUAGGGUUUCUAGUAACCCAAAAUACUAGGUGGCGACUCUAAAGAACCAAAUCAGUAAAACAAAACGAAAGUCGCCAGUCGAAUGUCGCAAAACAAAUUUUUUGUUAUUUUUUUUAGGGUGCGACAGAAUGGCGACUCCACUGGGACCCUUGGACUAUGCUUGGUAAUUAUUUUUUUACGCUAUGUGUUGUUGUUUUUCUUUUUUUUACUAUGAAUGGUUUGCUUUGUUUAAAAGCUUUAGCAUACAUCUUUACAUUCUAUCAUACAUGGCAUAGUCAUGCAUCACUUUAUUAUUAUUAUUAUUAUGUUUUGGAGGGCACACACAUGUAACUUUAAAAUUAAGUGGGGGACUAGCAGCUUGCCUUAUGACUUGAGUCAAGGUUUAAGUUUGUGUAAACCCCAACUCUUUGCUGAGUGUUUAGACUGAUUGUGAUUGGUACACGUACCAUCCCACUAUCUGCUAGACCUCCAUAUCGCCUUUACGAAGGUGGUCACUGGAACAGCAAGAGACCCUCUUUUAGAGACCCAGUAGUAAACCUACCCAAUGUCUCACAUAAAGGAACUAGAGCAUAUCCUUAGGAUGUAUGCUCCAUAAUAUCUUUUUGCAUCCAAAGCAUCUUGAAUCUCAAGACCUUUAUUCAAAAGCUAGCCAAGGGAGAGAUGUUCUAGAAUUGGGAGACCCAAGAAGCUCCAUUGGUGUUCAAAAUUUAAUCAACAAUGCUUGUUUGAUCAUGAUAUUGUGUUCUUUUCCUUUUUCAACUUUUUAAAUCGAGGUUCCAAAUGCCUUUUCAAAAGUUCAUCUGGUUGUUUUUACACAUCAUUUUUCUUUUCAAAACGAAUCUUCCAUAACUACACCUGCACUUUACACUGAGAAUGAAUGGCCGAACUUUAAAGUUGUAGAAGAGGAAGAAUGGUAGGAAAAUAACAUUAGGGGAUUCACAAAAACGAACAACAUGAACAAGCUUGGAAACCCACUACAAGGUCAUGCCGUUUGGGUUAAAGAACGUUGGGGGCACCUACCAAAGGGCUAUGUUGACUCUAUUUCACGACAUGAUGCAUAAAGAGAUUAAAGUAUACGUGGAUGACAUGACCUAGAGAGGGAGAGAAUCAUGUCCAAAUAUUGAAGGAAUUAGUUGAAAGACUAAGAAAGUACAAGUUGAGGUUUAACCAUGCAAGGUGUUCAUUCGAGGUGAAAUAUAGGAAGUUCUUGGGAAGGUUAUUCAACCUAUACCAACUCCCAAGACUAAGAAAGAUGUAAGGAGGUUCUUGGGAAGGUUGAAUUACAUUACUCAAUUUAUAUCCCAAUUAACCACGACUUAUGACCUCAUCUUCAAUUGUUAAGGAAGAAGAAUAUUGGAAUUUGGAAUAAGAAUGCGAAGAAGCUUUCAUGAAAAUCAUGGAAUUUGGAAUAAGAAUGUGAAGAAGCUUUCACGAAAAUCAAGCAAUACCUACUGAAUCCACCCCUAUCUAUCGAGUUGAAUUGAAAAAUGGCAAGUUCUACUAGCUGAGUACAACAUAGUAUAUAUGAGAAGGAAAGCCAUGUUGUGAAAGUUUAUGGGUUGUUAAAAUUUAAUUUUUCGGAUAAAGAUAUGUUUUUAGUCGAGGAAGGGAAAUCAUAUUGUUAGAUUAUGUACUUUGAGGGUGUUGUGGUAAUAGAGUGGGGGGCAGUGCUAAUCUUUCCUAAUAAGAAACAGUAUUCGAUUUUCGUUAAGUCGCAAUUUGGGUACACUAACAACACAACUGAGUUCGAAGCUUGCAUUCUCGAGGUUGCAUUAGAGCUAAACAUCAGAAAGAUAGAUGUGUAUUGGAGACUCGAUUUUGAUUAUUUGUCAAGUGAAAGGAAAAGGGCAAACCAAGGACGAGAAGUUGAGACCUUGCCAAGAAUACUUGUCUAAAUGGGCUAGAGAAUUUGAGGAAAUAAAGUUCACCCAUCUAGGAAGGGAAGGAAACCAUUUUGAUGUUUUGGUCACGCCAGCUUCUACGGCUAGAAUAGACUUUGGGCACAAGGUACAACCAAUACACAUUGAUAUAAGAAAUAACUUAGCUCAUUAUUGCUCAGUUUGAAAGAGAAAUAGAUGGAAACCCUUGGCACUAUGAUAUCAAGAAUUUCAUCCAAAACCAGACAUAUCCCAUGGGGGCAUCCAAAAAUCAACAAGAAGACGUUGAGGAGGUUGGCAAUGGAUUUCUAUCUUGAUGGGGAAACUUUGUAUAAGAAAUCAUCUGACGAAACUUUGUUGAGAUGUUUCGAUGACAAAAAAAAAAAUUUAUGGAAAGAUAUUUAUCGAUAUGGUCCACUAGAAAAAUUAAUAACCCAGAAUUUCAACGGCAAGUUAUAAUGGAGCUCUGCACUAAAUGGAAAAUCAAGCAUUCCAAUUCUUCGCCAUAUAGACCAAAGAUGAAUGGUGCGGUAGAAGCUGCUAACAAGAAUGUCAAAAAGAUUAUUCAGAAGAUGGUAGUCACCUAUAAGGAUUGGCAUGAGAUGUUGUCAUUUGCCCUUCAUGCAUAUCGCACCGCAAUUCGAACCUUAAUAGGAGCCACCUCGUAAAUGUUGGUAUAUGGAAUGGAGGCGGUGAUGCUUUUAAAAGUGGAAAUCCCCUCAUUAAGAGUAUUGAUAGACUUUGAGCUAGAAGAGUUAGAAUGGGAGAAGGUUAAAUGUGAACAGUUGAAUCUGAUAAGUGAAAAGAGGAUAGCCGCAAUCUGUCACCAUCAACUUUAUCAAAGAAGGAUGGCCAAAUCAUACAACAAGAGGAUUCGACCUUGAGGAUUCCACGAAGGACAUCUUAUAUUGAAGAAAAUGUUGUCUUUUACUAGGAGAAGAUCAGAGUAAAUGGGCGCCUAACUAUGAGGGGCCUUAAGUGGUGAAGAAAGCAUUCUCAGGAGGAGCUUUGUUACUGUCAAGAAUGGAUGGAGAAGAUCUAGUUAGGCCCGUGAAUUCUGACUCUGUAAGGAAAUACUACGCUUGAUGUAUUUCAUAAUUUCUCAGUCAAUAAAAUAAAAUUCGGCCAUGAAUUCUCUUUGUAAAGAACUUUUUUUUUUACGCAUGACUAAGAAGAUGACUCCAUCAAUUGGAGAAAAACAAAUCAAAUCUGUUUGACAUAUUUUUUUGCACACCACACUAGGGGGCAAGAAGUGCACGAAAUGCAUAUAGAGGUCCAUAGUAAACCAAAACCCAAAGGGGUAUCAUAAUAAAACCUUCUAAAAAAGCAUCUUUUAUGAAAAUUGCUAAUUGCAUUGAAAGUUUUAGUUUUCAUGAACAAAACCAAAUCUUUUGAGUUUUCCUUUUGAAAUAAUAAUAAAGCACAAUACUCAAUGGAGCAAGAAAGGGCCCCAUAAGGAACCAGAGAUCUCUUCACUAAGAGGAUAUGAAGUAUAUUUCGGUUCAUGAGAAAAGGUGGAAACAAGAGCUUGAAGAAGUUUACAACGAAAGGGGGACCUAUUUUUCUCAGGUAAGUAUACAUGCAUAUUGAUCAUAAUGCAUUGCUUUCAACAUUUGUCGUAUCGGUGUUUCAUCAUCAUCUUUUGGGUAGUGCGUUUUCUAACCCUACCUCAUUUUGAGUGCGCCUUUGAGCCCUCACUUCUUGGUAGUGCGUUUUCUAACCCUACCUCUUUUCGAGUGCGCCGUUGAGCCCUCACUUCUUGGGUAGUGCGUUUUCUAACCCUACCUCAUUUUGAGUGCGCCUUUGAGCCCUCACUUCUUGGGUAGUGCGUUUUCUAACCCUACCUCUUUUCGAGUGCGCCGUUGAGCCCUCACUUCUCGGGUAGUGCGUUUUUUUUAACCCUACCUCAUUUCGAGUGCGCCUUUGAGCCCUCACUUCUUGGGUAGUGCGUUUUCUAACCCUACCUCUUUUCGAGUGCGCCGUUGAGCCCUCACUUCUCGGGUAGUGCGUUUUUUUUUAACCCUACCUCAUUUCGAGUGCGCCUUUGAGCCCUCACUUCUUGGGUAGUGCGUUUUCUAACCCUACCUCUUUUCGAGUGCGCCGUUGGAGCCCUCACCUCUCGGGUAGUGCAUUUUCUAACCUUACCUCAUUUCAAGGGCGCCUUUGAGCCCUCGCCAACAUUUUUCUGGGUAGGUCACCCAUUACAACGCGACCAAUUCUCCAUGUUUUUAUUUAGGUAGGUCACCCAUUACAAUCAGACCAUUCUUUCACCUGGGUAGGUCACCCAUUACAAUGAGACCGCUCUUUCCUUUUUCUUGGGUAGGUCACCCAUUAUAAUGAGACCAACAUUUUUUAUGGGUAGGUCACCCAUUACAACGCGACCACUUCUCCAUGUUUUUUUCCUUUUUCUUGGGUAGGUCACCCAUUACAAUGAGGCCAACAUUUUUUCUGGGUAGGUCACCCAUUACAACGCGACCACUUCUCCAUGUUUUUUUUUUUACUUGGGUAGGUCACCCAUUACAAUGAGACCAUUCUUCCAUUUGGGUAGGUCACCCAUUACAAUGAGACCACUCUUUCCUUUUUUCUUUGGGUAGGUCACCCAUUACAAUGUGUAACAACCCUAAUUUUUCUAUUAGUUUAUUCGUUAAUCUCUCCCUCUAUAAAGGGUAGAUGAAGCAAUUUUUUUUUUUUUUUUACUCGCCGAAAUUUCUAACGAAAUUUCAGCAGAGUCUCCUCUAUACGAGGAGAUCCCAAGUUAUCGACAAUGUACCUACACACAUUUUGAAUCACAUCUCAUCCACAAUCACAUCCAUGUUUAGCACAAUUAACUACAUAACUCAUUCUAGAUUAUGCUCAGGACCAUAUUCAUUCCCAAACUCCACCUUACAUCACAUACACAAGUUAAUAAUUAAAAGAGCCAAUUUCAACACGAAAUUUCAUAUAAAUAUAUAUAUACACAACAUAGUUUAAUAUUCUAACAUAGUCUAGUACAUUCUAAUAUCCCAAGCAUAGAUUGAUACAUUUAAUAUUUCAGAAACAAAAUAUUACGAAUAGAGUAUUCCAUAUAGGCUACAUGCUUACUGCAUGACAAAAUUACACCACAAAUCCCUAAGUUCCUAACUUAUACGGAAAGGGAUCAAAGAACUUUAAAUCUAUUCCUGACGUGAAUGGGAGGGACCUGCAAAAAUAUAAAUUUUCCAUAUAAUUAAAAAGAAAUGAUUAAAAUACAAGCAAUUUACAGAAUAAAAUUAAACAGCAUAUAUAUCUACUUAAAUCAUAUGAGAUUCUGAAUACAACCACAAACCCCUUUUUAUGGUUAUAUAAGAAUUCUUUAUUCUUCUUCUCUCUUUUUUUUUUUUUUGUUAACUACUUCUCCCCCCCCCCAUCAGAAGGACUAUUGUUGACACCAAUGACCUCCAUUAGUGUCUUUAGUUGCCCGUCUUGGAACAACUAAUUAGUUUCAUGAAAAUGCCGACACAAAUGUAAACGUUUGUGUCAUUAACUAUCUUUAAAACUAAAAUAGUUAAUCAUUGUUCCAUAUUACCUUGGGAGGUUCUCAGGUAUGCCGAUGUCAAAAUUCUUGACAUCAUUAGCUUUCACCUCGGAAAGCAAAUCAAGUUUAUAAAUUUUGCCGAUAUCGACGUCACGUGCCGAUAUCAUUAACUAUUCCGAAACCGAAUAGUUAAUCAAUUUUAUAAAUUUUGCCGAUAUCGACAUCACGUGCCGAUAUCAUUAACUAUUCUGAAACCGAAUAGUUAAUCAAGUUUAUAAAUUUUGCCGAUAUCGACGUCGCGUGCCGAUAUCAUUAACUAUUCUGAAACCGAAUAGUUAAUCAAUUUUAUAAAUUUUGCCGAUAUCGACAUCACGUGCCGAUAUCAUUAACUAUUCUGAAACCGAAUAGUUAAUCAAGUUUAUAUUUUUCAUCAUUUAACCUUUCCUUUCCCCUUUUUUUUUUAUCAAUAAGCACCAAAUUUUUAUAGUUCAAAAGUUAGUUAAAAUAAUUAUUAACUAGAGGAGAUAUAGGUACCGAGUACCUACCUGUUGUGGAACACCCAUCAUUAUCCCAUAUUAAUCCACAUAUCACACGCAACAUCAACAUUCAAAAUAAUAUUCAUUUCUCUUUUACCAAAUCUUUUCUUUCUCAUCACAUACAUUCCUCACUAUUAUCCUUUAACUUUUCAGCUCAUUAGUAGUCCAAGUGGACAUCAUAAAUUCAAUUUUUUAUUACAGUUUAUUCUUUUUGAAGAUCAAGACACACUUUAUGAAAAGCAAGAUCACAAAUUCUACACUUGAUAUGGCUAAAUUUCUCCGUUUUAUCAACUUGGCCGAAUCUGCCAGCAGCGGUGGCAGCUCGACCUCUCCUUAGUUUUUUAUUUGUAUAUGGAGUUCUAGGACUCCAAAUUAGGCGAGGUCAGAUUCGUUGGAAAGCUAACACUCCUAGCUACACUUCUAUGAGGGGACCCUCCCUAAAUUUUGUAGUUUUCAGGUCCAAAAUCCCCCCAGGAAACAGGGCAACGAACCUGUCCUGUUUUGCUAAGGAAGAAGGUAUCUCCAUUUCAUCUUAAAUCCAUGCUUCCUCAUCAGUCACAGCCAUGCCUUCCCUUUAUUCAUGGCAUUCCCGUAUCCUUUUAUGUCCUCCUAAUGUCACUGGUAUCAAAUUAAUUAAUUAAACACAUCAUAAGUUCUCAUUCCCUCUCUGCUGUAUCCAGCAGAGAACGUGGCCAAGGGAACCGAGAGUUCCCUUCCUCUCUUUUAUGCACUCAUUUCUUCUUCUUCUUUAAGGCACUUAGAUUAAUCUAAUCCAUUUAACCUCACUCAUUUCUGCAUUUUCCCAACAUUUUAUGUUAAAGAAACCUAAUUCCCAAUUCAAGAAAGGCAUAAACUUCUAAUCAAAUUGAAGUUGAUUUCAUAAAAAUUGGAAUUAGAACUCCUUACUUGGAUGGAAUCUAAACUUUACUUCACAAAUUUUAGAAGAAUCUUAGCCUUCUUCUCCUUGUAUGUUGUCAGCUACUCUUCCCCCUCUUUUCUUCACCAAUUCUUCACUUUUCUUCUUGUUAAUUCUUCCACCCGAUUGUGUUCCUCCACUUUAUAAUUCCAAGGCUUAUUUGGGUUUACUAAUUUUAGGUGUUUACUCCAAGUUUUGAUGAAAGAAAAAUCUGAAAUUCUCCCCCCUCCAUAUUCUUAUUAUCAGCCGGCCAUGGAUGAGAGAAGGGAUGGGUAUUUAUAGUCCCAUCUCUUCUUAAUUCCAUUUUGGCCCCAUCUUUCACCCUUUUUUUUUUCAGUAUUAUUUUUUAUUAUUAUUAUUAUUAUUGCUUUAUUUUAUAUUGUAACAACAUUUGGAAUUAUUAUAAACCUCCCCCUCUUUGUAUACUUUUUUUUUUCUCGGGCUUCACACAAUGAGACCGCACUCCAUAUUUUUUCUAUUUGGGUAGGUCACCCAUCACAACGAGACCGCUUUUUCAUAUUCUUUCCACUUGGGUAGGUCGCCCAUCACAAUGAGACCAUCAUUUCUUUCUGGGUAGGUCACCCAUAAGAAUGAGACCAUUCUCCAUCUUUUUUUUUUACUUGGGUAGGUCACCCAUAAGAAUGAGGCCAUUCCUCCCCCUGGGUAGGUCACCCAAAGAAUGAGACCACUCUUCCUUUUUCCAUUUGGGUAGGUCACCCAUAAGAAUGAGACCAUUCUCCAUCUUUUUUUUUACCGGGUAGGUCACCCAUAAGAAUGAGGCCAUUCCUCCCCCUGGGUAGGUCACCUAAAGAAUGAGACCACUCUUCCUUUUUCCACUUGGGUAGGUCACCCAUAAGAAUGAGACUAAUCUCCAUUUUUUUUUUACCUGGGUAGGUCACCCAUAAUAAUGAGGCCAUUCUUCCCCCUGGGUAGGUCACCCAAAGAACGAGACCACUCUUUCCCUUUUCCACUCGGGCAGGUCACCCAUCAUAAUGAGACCACACACAUUUUUUUGUAUGGGUUAUGGAUAAAGGAAUCGACAGAUGGGAUUCCAAGUUAAAAGAGAUCACCAGAUGGGAUCUCGGAUUGGUUUUCCAUGUUGAUCAAACUAAACUAAUAAUUCAGAGGAUCGCUGGAUAAGGAUCUCGAGAUGACUAAGUGUUGAUCAUAGUUUUUGGGCUAAGGAGGAUUGUUAUAAAAGACAAAGUUUCAGAUCAAUUAAGCUUCGACCAGAUCAGUUUCGGGAGUUCCAUUUUGGGUUUAUCUUUAUAACACUUACUGCGCAAAACCCAUGCUCCGUAAGUAUUAUAAAGAGGGGGCAUCUGUUGUAACCCAUUUUCGGGUCCCCGUGAAAAAAUAAGAUAAAUAGCCAAAAGAGGUUAGAAAAAAUAACAGGAGGCAGAAACGCUCAGAAAACAGUCAGAAAAUUGGUCAAGAAAUUUAAAAAUACAAGGAUUGAAUUUUUGACGGUAUAUUCUUGAAGGAUAAAAGCCCUAUUGAGAAGGAAAAUUUGAAUUUUGAGGAGAAAAGCCCAAAUUUGGAUAUUUAUAUACUUAAUUGGAUUUUUAUUUGAAUUUAUAGAAGAUUUGAUUGCAAGAAAUUUUGAUUUUUAAGUCAAUUUGGGCUUUAAUUAGAAGAAAUUUAAGUUCUGGGCCAAAAUAUUUUUUUUUGGAAUUUAUUAGGUCAAAUCAGGAGCUCAAUUGCAUAAAUAUUGAAGUUUAAUAGCCAAUUAGGGGCUCAAUUGUGAAAAUCCGAAACCAGGAACCAAUUUGGAAAACGCGGGUAAAUAGAGGGGGCUGUUUUGAAUUGAUCCAGGGGCGUAAUUGAAGAAAUUGGAAGUUUAUUGAUCAAUUGAGGGCUUAAUUGUAUAAAUCAGAGGCCAAGGACCAAGGUGAAAAACGCGGCCAACUACGGGGGCGAGGACUGAAAUUGGCAGGGACGCAAUUGAAAGAAACAAAAGAUAAUUAAGGGCUGAUUUGAAAUUUGGCGCUUUCUGGCGCCAUUUUUAAAUGAAACGACGCGUUUUCCCCAAAACGACGCCGUUUCAUACAAAAAAAAAAAAAGGACCGAACGGUGACGUUUUGAACGGCACUGUUCCCCUUUCUUCUUCCCCCUGAACGUGCAGCAAGCAUGGGAAAAAAACUUGUUUAAUCAUCCGGUGCCGCUCUCUCCUCGCGUGCGCUGACAAUACCACGUUGCCCUGCUCAACCCACGAUGUCCUGCUCCUCACGAUGCCCUGCUCAGCCCAUGCAGCCCCGCUCCCUUUGCCCCCUAUAAAAGAAGGGGGGAGACUUGAAACAGGAGGAGGAAGAAAGAAAACGAAAGAACUAAGACCAAGAGAGAGAGAUAAGAAAAAAACCGGGGGGAAGAAAAACGAACCAGAGAAAAAGGAGACUGAAACCGAAGGGAAGUUGAACGAGAGAAGAGAGAACGGAGAGAAAGGAAGGAAAGAAUACCGGGGGGGAAGUUUUUGAACAAAGAGAGAAAACGAAAUAGAGAGAGGAGGGAAGAAGUCAGGGAAGUUUGAAACAGAAGGGGGAGCACAGACACACCAGUAUUGCCAAGGAUCGUCAUUUUUUAGCUCAUCAUUCUUCACACACGUUGCAACACCAUAGAAGAAAAGGAAGAAGCCUGCACCUCGGUACAAACAGAGAAAACAGCGGCAAAACACCGCCCGCCACCGCCGAGAAGACCCACUGUCGCAUUGCCAUCAUUAUCACCGCCAGCUGCCACUGUCUUCCCAUCCGACAACAACACCGUGAGGAACAGAAUGAGGAAGCAGAAGCAGAGGAGAACAUAGUUGAAGAAAAAAAAACACAGAGAAGAAAGAAAAGCCGACCACCAUCCAAGCCACUCAUUAGGCCGCCGCCACCAGCAUCUCCACGAAGCAGCUGUAGAGAGGGAAGAACAUUGUUGACAGAGGGAGCAAAGGAAAUAAAAAGAAGAACAGCGCCAAAACAGUAAGGAAGAGGAAGAGGAGCCGCAACAACGCCACCGCCAAACCAGCCACUGCCACUGUCAGAACCACCGUGAGCCCUCAUUGGCUUCCUCUCCACAGCCACCAGCAUCACUGUGAGUGUUCGGCGUCUCUGUGCAAGUGAUUUCCUUUGGCAUUUUCACUGUGCAAGUGAAUUAUAAUUCACUUGAACAGUGAAAUGCAAAUGUAUUGUUCAAGUGAAUUAUAAUUCACUUGAACAGUACCAUAUGUUACUAUGUGUGUCUUCUUUUACAUGUCACUGUGCGCGGUUUCGUUUUGCAUUUUUACUGUUCAUAGUGAAUUAUAAUUCACUUGAACAGUACCAUUUGUAUAUGGUAUUAAGGAUGCACGCGUGAGCUUCCACCCAGGACUGGCUCGGGCCAGUGACCUGGUUAGGCCUGCUGGGUCAAGCCCAGCCAUAUGGGCGAACGGGCCCAACCUAAAAUUUUUUUAUUUAAAAAAAAAUUCUGCAAAAAAAUUAUUUUGAAAAUAAGUGAUUUUUGCAAUUCUUUACUGCAUUUUGAUCAAUAUCGGUUUAUUUUUAUACUGUAAAGAUACAGAUCCGGUAUUAAAUACCCGGUUUUCGUAAAAAUAUCAAAGAUUUUCAGAAUAAAAAAUGUUUUUGCUUAAAAAAAAUCUAAAAAAUCUAAAAUGUUUUGAUUUUUUUGCAUAUUUAUUAAUAUUGGGUUGUAUUUUUAUACCGUAAGGAUACAAGCUCAGUAUUUAAAUACCAUUUUCGUCAAAGCAUAUAAAAAAAUAUAAUAUUUUCAAAAAAAUUGUUUUGUUUUAAAAUACGGCCAGUCUCUCCAAUAUAUAUAUAUAAAUAUUAUAUCCUAUUUCACACAACAAAGGAAAUUUUCAACAAUAUAUUUAUUAGCAGCAUUUUGGUUUAAUAACCAGUUUUAUUCAAGCCAUGAGAACUAGGCCAAUAUUUCAAAAAUUCAAAAAAAUCUUUUUGUUUCCUUUUAGUAUUUGGGAUUACGAAUUUAUACGUAAAACGUAUUCCUAAAUAUUAUUAAUAAAGUUUUGUUAUAGACGUUAGAACGGUUAGGAUUUUACCCGAUAAGAUAAAAGACCUUCUACCGAGGAGGAUUUUUUGAACCAUAGAUAGACCAACGACUAGAAGUACAAUAACACCUUAGUUUUUUUUUCAGACAAUAAAACAAUGCAGCUUACCUUAGGUAGGGCGAUUUGGGGUGCUAAUACCUUCCUUCGCAACCAAUCCCCGUACCCAAUCUCUAAACCAGUUAGGGUUCCUAGUGACCAAAAUACUAGGUGGUGACUCCCAUUCCAUUUUCUACCAAUAAAGACAAUAUUUUUUGUAUCCCCAUAGAUAUAGAUGUUCGCUUUGUAGAUUUAAGAAAAAUGGAACAACUAUAUAAUUUUCGUUGCGACGCCGCACACAUGCGACAUUGAUGAAGAGGGAAGACUUUAUUAAUACAUGCCUUCAGGUACUUUUUUGAUUCUCUAUAUAUCUUCUCUUAGGAAUGUGAGAGUGUCUGAUUUACUUGUCUCACAACUUUGUCUAUGUGGUUGUUAUGGUGUUUAAGGAGAGAGUAGAAAGAGAGAGUUUUCUAAGGCCAAAGAAUCGAAUGGAGGUUAAUCAUGUGCUCUGAUACCAUGUAAGGUUUUAAGACUAGUAAUGAAAACUAUAUCAUCUGCUUAUAGCAUUGGAGUUUCAUUACAUAGAAGAACUUUACAGCAGUAGAGAAUAAGGAAAUAGUUGUUACAGGCUAUACAAGGAAUUAUAUCUAUAUAUUGUAUAAUUAGAAUGAAUCAAUUCCUAAUAAAGAGUGGAUUCAACUGCCCUGGGAAAGAUUCCCUUCCUAAUCAGGAUAGGAUAGUGGAUCUCCAUAUAGGGGCAAAAGUGCUACCUUAUUAGUGCCAUUCGGUCGGAUAUCCCAAUCUUUGAGUUUGAGUCACUAGUGCCAGUCUUUGAUCAAGAAAGGUAGGCAGAUCGACUGUAUCCAUUCAAUUCAAGAUUAGCCAGUACUCUUUCCCUUAUCAAGAGCUUACCGGACUGAUUGUCUUCAAUGUCCGGAGUAGGAGUCUAUGUCUGAUCACUUACUUUCAGGAAUAGAGUUCAGAUUCUAGUCUUAGUAAUCUUAUGUUGUGAGAUAGGAGAUAGAGUUCACUUCCUGUCACUGUCCGGGAAGAGAGUUUGACUUCAGGGAAUGUCUUGAGAGUGAGUUCCGGAGUACUUUCCGGGACAUGUGAUCUUCUAUUCUGUUUUGAGAUAGGUUGUGAGAAUAGCUUCUCUUAGGAGAGUGUCUAGUCUUUAUUCAAUUUCCUGGCUUUCUUCCGCUGUUACAUCAUCGAAUCAUUAUGUUUUUAUUGUGGCUUUAAAGUUUGUGGGACUCGAACUGGUAAUUUUUGAAACAAACCACAAGAUUAAGAUCAUGUUGGGUAUUCUUGUUAAGAUACAUGGUUGUUUUACUGUUUUUUUGUUGCCACCAUCAUACCUAGUGAAGCUAGUUUCUUUUCAUAUUUAGCUGCAUAGUUUCAUGUUGGUCUCCUCCAUUUCUUAUUGUCUCUGCUUUGAGAGGGAAGAGUACGAGCAUGGAUUAUUGAGAGGGGUUAAUAUAGGAGGAAUGGUUUGCUUAAUUGCAGAAUCAAGUUUUUCUAUUGUUAAUGGAGAUUUUUAUUUACUGGUGUACAGCUCAAUUAUAAAAUCUCUCUCUAAAUUUUUUAAUAAUCACUAUUUUUAGUUUCUUGAAUGAUAGUUAUUAACUAGGAGAGUGAAGUGCCCGUAAGAUUAGCCCGGGGAUAAAUGAAGUCUGAAGAUUGGCUUUUUCAAGUAUCCAUCCAUAAGACCAUUGGGCUUAAUUCUUGAAGAGUUCAAAUGUAGUUAGUGUUUUUCUUUCAGUGUUGAUGAGUCAAUUGGAAAGUUGGUGCUGCAUUCUCCAAGUCAACAGAUCUUCAUACGAGGUAAGGCUAUUUCGAUGAUCAUGGCCAGCUUAUAUUCCCUUUAAUUUCAUAUAAUUGAUCCUGGCUGAUCUAUUUCCAUGUAUGUAUAUCCUUGGGUAAUUUAAUUCUUGUGAAGUAGCAAGAUUCUUGUUUCUCUCUUGGUUUCAUACACUCUACAUAAAAUGGAGGUAGGAUGGCAUUGAUGGAACUAGGAUAAUGCUAACUCGGAUGGGUUACUGUAGUCUAUGCUUUUUUGCUUCAACCAAGUCAAUUCGCGCAGUGUUGGAAGCUUUCAACAUGUAGCCUGGCAUGAAAUGGGGUAAGAGAUGGCCAUUUUGUUCUCUCAUUUCUUUAUUCUUUCUUUGCAAUAUUGCAUGGUUAUGUCAUGACUGGAUACUUCAUCGCUGGCAUGUUUUCUACAUUCUUUAGUUUUCACUUAAACUAAAUAUUAUCUCGUAAGUUUUCACUUCAAUCUGUUUUCCCUUCUCUCGUUUAAAAAAUCCCUAAAUGAAAUAACCUUAAUUCUCGACUCCCUCAAUCAUACAAUCGUUAUCGUACUUGAUUGAAAAUCACAAAAAAGUUUUCUUUUCUUUCCCAUCUAAAAAACGCAACUUGUUUUGGCAUCACACAAGAUCCUCUCUUCUUCUUGAAAUUUCUUGAAAUAUUGUCAGGAUUGACAGAGAGUGACCUUAUGGCAAAUGUAAAACCACUACCACAGUAAACAUUCAAGGAGGCUUCUUUAUUCUGAAUAUCAGGGCUUAGACUGGCUGUUUGAGGGAUAGUUUGAUCAUUUGUAUUCCCCAGGCCAAGUUGACCGCGUUCACCCCAACCCCAUUUCUUUAUUGCUCCAUCCACUGUGAACAAAAAUUUACAAUGUCAUCAACAAAAUGAAAUGACACAAAGGCUCACUAAAGAAAACGAAGAUGGGUAGCAAUUCAUAGUAAAUAAGCUUACCUGUCACUAAAGCAGAGUGCCAGUAUACUAUUGUGGUAGCAAUUGGAAGUAGUCGGAAAACAAUUUAGAGUUUGUAUAAUAUUGUGGUAGAAUUGUUUUCUAAAGUAAUUUUUUUUCCCCUCAAAGAGAGAGUUUGCUUUCCUUUUCUUGAACAGUUAAGCAUUGGGUUGGGCACAAAGCAACGAAGAGAUGCUAGAUAAUAAAGAAAGCAGUUUAUAAGGAUGAAGAAACUUUAAAUUAAUUGCAUUUUCUUCAAACUGAAUUUCUAGGAAUACGAUGUUUGCGCACUGAACUCUCCAGAGAUUUGAAUAUAUUUUAAAAAAUUACUUUGUAACAAAAUGAUAUUAAUGUCACAGCUAAUAAAUUGGAAAAGCAUAAGUGCUAGUUCCAUACUAGUUACAUGCCCCGCAUGAUGUCGCGGGUCAAUUAUUUUUUGCAUUUCAAAAAUAGCAAAGAUCUAAAAGUGUUAGGUUUUUUUGUAAAGUUAUACCAAAAAAUCUCAGUUUUGGUUGCAUCGCCUGAUCCAAGAGUAAUGUUUAUAAUAUUAAUAAGAACAUUAAACUUGGGUUAACCAUUAGCAUAAAAUUGUCUGGACUACAAUACCAGAUCCAAUAGCAUUGGACGUGGGUCUGGCUGCAAGGUCGUGUCAUAAAAGUAUGAUAAUUAAAUAGAUUAGUUAAAAAAAAACCAACAAGAAGAAAAAAAACUAAUGAAAAAAAAAGAAAAAACAAUAUGAAUUAAUUGGGUUACCCCUUCAAACCAGGUUAACCUGUCAUACCUUGAAUUCGCAUCAUGAAAGUUUGAUAAUUAAAAAAAAAAAAAACAAAUUAAUGGGUUAACCUAGAAUUAACUAGGCUAACUCGUCAAAUCCGGAAUCCGUGUAAUGAAAGUUUGAUAACUAAAUAGAAAAAAAUUUAAUAUUAACAAUUUAAAUUAAAUGAAAAAAAUUAAUUAAAAAAAAAACAAAAGGCAUCAGCCUUUUCACUGUGGACUGCACUAUGCAGUCCACAGUGAAAGGCAUUAAAAAAAAAACUAAAGGCAUCAGCCGAAAACUACUUAGAAAAAAAAUUUAAUAUUAAUAAACUAAAUUAAUGAAAUAAAAUUAAUUAAAAAGAAAAAAGAAAAGAAAAAAAAACCUCUAAUAAGAAAAAAAAAAUACUAAAUAGAAAGAAAUUUAACAUUAACAAGCUAUAUUAAAUGAAAAAAGUAAUUAAAAAAGAAAAAAAAGCAAAAAAAAAUUCAGGUUAACUCGUAAAAAGUUAACCCGUUAAACCCGGGAUCCGUGUCAUGAAUGUCUGGUAACUAAAUAAAAAAAAAGUGAACAUUAACAAACUAAACAAAACAAAAAAAUAAUUAAAAAGAAAAAAAACAUUAUAACUUUUUCCAAAAUUUAUUUUAUUUUAUUUUUCCAAAAUUAUCUUUGUUGAUUUUACUUUUUAAAUAUUGAGCUCAUUAAAAAAUUUUCUCACAUGGUUUGUUUUCCAGUUUCUUUUGUGUUUUCGUUUUUUGUAAUAUUUUUUUCUAAAAUUAUCUUCGUUGAUUUUUUUUUAAUAGAGUUGUUUAGAAUUUAAUUUUAUAAUAAAGCUUAAUCAUGUGGGAAAAGCACUGUAGUUUUCCUCACAAAACAUUAUUGAGAAUUACAAUUACAAGUCAUUACAAAUAAGGCUAAAUCAUGUGGGGAAGCACUGUAGCUUUCAUCACAAAACACUGUGAAUUACUAGUGUUUCUAACAUGAUUUUUUCCCUUUUUUGUGUUUUUUUUGUUAUUUUUUUAAAUUGUCUCUGUCGAUUUGAUUUUUUUUAAUAUUGAGCUGAUUAAGAAUUAUCUUCGUUGAUUUUUUUUUAAUAGAGUUGUUUAGAAUUUAACUUUGUAAUAAAGCUUAAUCAUGUGGAAAAGCAGUAUAGUUUUCCUCACAAAACAUUAUUGAGAAUUACAAUUACAAGUCAUUACAAAUAAGGCUAAAUCAUGUGGGGAAGCACUGUAGCUUUCAUCAAAAAACACUGUGAAUUACUAGUGUUUCUAACAUGAUUUUUUUCCCUUUUUUGUGUUUUUUUUGUUAUUUUUUUAAAUUGUCUCUGUCGAUUUGAUUUUUUUUAAAUUGUUGCAGUGUUUUCCCAUAUGAUUUUUUUUUAAAAUUAUCUUUGUCGAUUUUUUUUUGAAUAUUAAGUUGGUUGAAAAUUAUAAUUACAAUAAAUUUAAAUCAUAUUAGAAAAGCGUUGUAGUUUUUUUCACACAACACUAUAGUUUUUCUCACAAAACAUUGUCAAUUACUGCAACAUUUUUUCUCAUGGGUUUUUUUUCCUUCCAAGAUUAUCUUUGGUGGUUUUUUUUUAAUAUUAAGUUGGUAGAGAAUUUAGCUUUGUAAUUUGUUUUUGUUUUUUAUUAACAGAAAAGCUAAAUUAUGUGGUGAAAGCAUUGUAUCUUUCCUCUCAAAUUACUGUGGAUUACUACAAAUCAUUUUGUUCAGUCUCUAAGUUUUUUAUUACCAACACAACUUUUUUUUUCGUCAUGAAAUAUUGGCUCCAUCAUACCUUUAGUUUUUAUUACUUAUCUAGUGCUAAUUUACAAUUAUAACGCUAUCAAAUAUAUUUGUUUUAUAAAUUCAUGACAGCGUGCGGGCAUGCAUCUCGUUAAUAUUUAUAAUAUGGAGUUAUAAAACCAAGUUCACGUGUUGCAUGGAAUGGAUGUUCCGACAAGGAUCAAAAUUAAUAAUUCAUACAUUUAUUGAGAAAAAAAUAUUAAAAAAUAGAGUUUUGUUUAAUAAAGCAAACUUCCUUAAUUAAUCAUCGUAUCAACCUCUUAAAAUUACCCUUUAUAAAAUACUAGUAAUUUUUCACUCAAUAUAUCCCAGCAAGUUAAUAUCAAAAUGAUCCAUUCAUUUAUUAAAAAAAAACAGACACAUAAAAAAAUACUAAGAGUUUGUUCAUGUUUGUGAUUAAAAAAUAUUUUUAAAAAUAUUUGAUUUUUUUAUGUUUUAAAUUAUUUUUUUUGUUUUUGAGUUAUUUUGAUUUAUUAUAAAAAAAAAAAUUUAAUAAAUAAAUAAACUUAAUAAUUUUUUAAAAAAUAUAUUUUAAAAAAUAAUCAUUAUCAAACCAAUAAACCAUUCAAGCAUUAUCAUAGCUAUUUCUUAUACAUCAAAAAGAGAAAUACAACGAAAAAGAAAAGAAUUAAAAGAUGAUCAAACAUCGUUGAAUUGAAGUGUCUGAUGCUGAGAUCUACUACAUCGGGUCUUCUGAUCUUGUGCCGAAACCACAAGAACUACUUUUCUUCUUUCUAUUAUAGAGUCUAGUAUUUAAUGAACAUGUCACACCAUUUGAUUUUACAGUACGACUAUAUUUUUUAAAAUUUUGAAUUUUAAUAUACUAACAUAAAAAGAAAUAUCAUAGAUGUUGAAAAAA